AAUAGCCUUCAUUUCUCAGAACAAGAUUAGACUGAGUUUCAGAAGAAAGUUCUUUAUUUCUGGCCAUUUUGAGCCUGUUAUCUAACCCACAAAUGUCGACGCUCCAGGUACUCAACUAGUCUAAAGAAGGCCUGUUUCUUUAAUCAGAACAACAGUUUUCAACUGUGCUAACAUAAUUCCAAAUGGGUUUUCUGAUAAUGGCACUAUGUACGCCUAUGUAGAUGUUCCAUAAUAAAUCUGCUGUUUCCAGCAACAAAAGUAAUUUACAACAUUAACAAUGUAUACACUGUGUUUCUGAUCAAUUUGAUAUUAUUUUAAUGGACAAAAGCUCUUUCUUUCAAAAACAAGCACUUUUCUAAGUCACCCCAAACUUUCGAACGGUAGUGUAACUUUUUAUUCAAGUAACUUAUCGACAAGGGAUACCCACACAAGGUGGAUAUAGUGAGAACCCACUGAGUGAAGUUAGUAUAUAACCCAGAAGCGCUCUCAGCAUAGGUGCAACCUCUGAUGUACAAUGGUUCCAAACACUAACCCCACACAUCCUGUGCCAGACCUUAAGCCCCAAAUACCAAUAACUUGUUUUGUUGAGUACUAGAAACUUAGGACAUAUGUUAAUUUGUUUUCUCUCCCCUGGUUCAAGGUGAAAACUCUUCCCCUAGGAGGAGGUGACUGAUGCACACACUGGAGACAAGUGAUUGGUUCCCCAUUACUCACGCCACACAUGGUUUGCAAUAAAGACACAUUUCACAUAUGGAAACAAUGUUUCCUCCUUACCUCCUUUGCCAUAUUCCUAGCUGAUAUUCUGCAUAGCAAAGGGGACAUGUGAAAGACAAGCCUGACUUCUCCCCUCUCUGGGCCUCAGGUGACUGAGGCCCAUAUGAGGGAGGUAGUGCAGCUGCCAACACCAGAGUCGGAAAGGAGACAUUCUAAUGACGAGUUCAACAGUUCAAACAUAUAAGCAUAUUCUGUAGAUAAGACAUCUUAAUUAUCUAUGUUACUUCUGCUUUCUCCACCCCAGUACUUUUCCACCACUGAGUACAUACAUCUAUUGUAUGGUCAGGCAAAAAUAUUGUUUGACCAUUUCUACAAUAUCUGGCAUACAAGUUAUGUUGACCUGUCAAUGUUGAGACUACUUUUACAUUUAUGGUCCGGGUUGCAUAUUGACUCAAUUAGCCUAUGUGUUCAUGUUAUGAAUGUUGUAUGCUAUGAAGAGAAUUAUGAAGUAUCAUUGAUUUCUUUUCAGGCACGCCGUUUUCAAUCAUCAGCAGCCAUUCAUGUGUUAUGCAGAUACUGGUUUCAGGAACGAACCUGCAGAACUGGGACAGAAUCUGUGUUCAGCAAUGUUCCCUGGCAGGCGACAACGAUACCGCAAAGCGACGUCUACAAUUGUGGCGUUUAUGUGCUGCUGGACAAUGGAUCGGAUCCCAGCCGGCGACCCAAAACAAAGGCGCCGCAGACUGAUCGUCUUCUGGUCAGGCUCCAUAGACGGGGACACCGCUCCUGAGCAUACUACUCGCCAAUGUCCAGUCUUUUGACAAGAGUGCUCCAGUUGAUCCGACACCUCCUGUGCUGGGAUAUCCAUCACCAUUUAAAAUCAACACAUGGAUAAUCCUGCCUUACAAUGGAUAUGCUCACCCUGCCACAAUUGAAUACCUGCACACCAAGGCUACUAUUGGGUUGAUACUGUGUCAAAUUGAUAUCAUUUCCAGAGGUGUAAACGAUUUACAACUACAGUAGAAGGUAUAUUUUAGGGCUGUCCCAGACGGGAAAAAAUCUUGGGCGACUUAGUCUUCCUGUCCUUUCCACCAAUCGAUUGGUCUAAAUGUUUAAAUAUAUAGACACACGCCCUAUGUUUUUGAAGAAACCCACUACAUAUGCAAUGAGCUUGUCUGAUGCUUAAGCACACUGUUUGAUUCAUUUUGCUGUUGCAUGAGGCUUGAUGCUCAUGGAACGAGUAAGCUAUUAAACGGCCAAUCGAAGCAGGAACGGUCUUACUUCUGUAGAUGUAUAAAGCCAGGGCGAUUUAGAAUUUAGUUAGGUCGCAGUUGCCAUACCAGGCAGUACCAUGCAACCUGUCAGGAUGCUCACGAUUUAAAGCUCUUAAUGCUGCCAUUCGACUCAACAGAAGCCACUGGAACGGCAAGCAGGAAGAUAUGAUCUAAAAGCUCAUGCUGAAAUUCUGCCUUAUUUGCCUGACUUACUGCUGCACAUUUGCAAUGUUGAAUUUGACUCUUUGCACUUAAUUGGAUUGUAAAUCCGAUUACCCAUGCUAAAUCUGUUCAGUCCCCUGUGUGGGAAUAGGUUUUGUCACGUCCUCUUCAACUGUCUUGGUGUGAGUAAAAUCCAACGCAAGGUAGUUGGGUGGUGAGAUUUGGAACAGGAGCCAGAGACAGAGCGGUAACUGCAAUGAGAGGAUAUACGGUGUCAGGCAGGGAAACUGGCACAGCAGAGUAACAUGAUCUUGAGUAAUCAUAACUGGCUAAAAUCAUAAACUGACUGAGCAGAGAUUACGAUCUGGCAGAGUGGAAGUGGCAGGACUGUGUAUUUGUAGAGGUCUUGAUUAUGGAACGAGUUGCAGCUGGUAGGGAUCUGCUGACUCCAGCACACCUGUCUCCAAUCCCACAGAGGGAGAGAGUGUACAGGGGGGAGUAACUGCAGGUCAAUAAGACACCGGAUGAACACCAGAGGGCAUAGCAGGAGCAGAUGUGACAGGGUCCUCAUUGACUGGGGUCGACGAGAGCUUUUUGGCCGCCACAUUUAGCUUCCGAGCUGAUCAUCCCUACUCAGCCACUCUUUAAUCCCAUUGAUGUUCGAGCAUUGAACGGGAGCUCUAUAGGUCGGACACCUUAACACCACUCCCAUAAACCUACGGGUGUCAGGGAAUCACAGCCUGACCAUUCAGUUCCUGCUCAUUAAGUCCCCCCAGAUUCCUGUGGUUUUGGGAUUCUCCUGGCCCCAACAGCACAAUCCACUCAUCAACUGGUCUACUAGUGCAAUUAUGGGCUGGAGUCCGUUCUGCCACGGCCAUUGUCUGAAUUCGGCACAACCUGCCCAGGUAAUGAUUCCUGUGUCCUCGGUGGUUCCGGACCUCUCUGCCAUUAUGGCGGAGUACCAGGACCUCUGGGAGGUUUUCAGCAAGUCCCGGCCCACUUCCCUUCCACCGCACCGCCCCUAUGACUGCGGGAUUGACCUUCCUAGUACCACUCCGCCCCGGGGACGUCUUUACUCAUUGUCGGGACCUGAGAUGAAGGCUAUGGAGAACUACAUUGGACUCUCUAGCUACAGGAUUUAUCCAUCCCCCUUCCUCUCCCACUGGCGCAGGCUUCUUCUUCGUGGAGAAGGACAAGACACUGCGCCCGUGCAUUGACUACAGGGGACUCAAUGACAAUGUUAAGAACCAAUAUCCGCUACCACUCAUUUCCUCGGCCUUCGAGCCGCUCCUGGUGGCAACUGUAUUCUCCAAGCUGGAUCUACAAAACACCUACCACCUAGUGGGGAUACGAGAGGGGAACGAGUGGAAGACCGCCUUCAACACGGCCAGCGCCCACUACGAAUAUCUGGUCAGGCCCUUUGGCAUCACAAACUCCCCUGCCGUGUUCCAGGCUCUGGUGAAUGAUGUUAUCCGUGACAUGCUGAAUCGAGUUUGUCUUCGUCUUCCUUGAUAACAUCCUUGUCUUCUCCAGCUCCCCACAAGAACACAUUCUUCAUGUCCGGCAGUUUCUCCAGCGCCUUCUGGAGCGAUUUCCAUCGCUCCACCAUUCCCCUUUCUGGGCUACAUCAUAUCUGCUGGGAGUGUCCAGAGCUCCAAAACAACUGUGCAGUUACAAAAAAUACAGACGAGAUAAAAGUAACAAGUAAUUAAAGAGCAGCAGUAAAAAAAAAAUAUAUAUAUAUAUAUAUAUAUAUACCGGUUAAGUAUUGUAAGAUUUGCCAAGUGUAGGGCGAGGGAGAGUUUUGUACGCAUCUCUGUGUGUAGAGUAAAGGUGGUCUACAAUUUGUUUCCCUCUAGUUGCGCAUUUAACAUGCUGAUAGAAAUUAGGUAACUGAUUUUUAAGUGUCCUUUUUUGUAAUGUUAAUAGGAUAUUUGACAUUGUAACAAAUUGACUAUUUUUAAAAUGAACCAUUUUUACUCAGUACUUUUUAUAAAUUUUAGAUCCUUUUACUUGUAGGUUUAAAAAAAUAUAUAAUGUAAUUAAAGAAACGGUGUACCCUGAUACUGUCAUAUUGCAAUACUGAACUGUGUAGAUGGGUAAUGGUUGAGUUGGCAUAAGUUCGCUGAAAUCCACUAUCAUUCGCUUAUGUUUUGUUCGUUUCGUUUUCAGUUUGUCUGAUUGAAGAACCUCUAGGUUAUUAGAGAAAUGCACAUGCUAGUUUUCAUUUGGAAUUUAAACUACUUAAAAGAAAAUUGAGUAACAAUUGGCAGGAAGACAACAUAGCUACAGUAGGUAUUUUCCUUUCUGCAACUUCUACAGAAAACAUUAACCAUUUUAUAUUGAUGAAAAAGGAAUUUGCACACAGUUGGUGUUUACAUUAAAAAGCCUUAAUUACCAUAAUGGUAUAAAGUCAUUGACUCUUCAUUAAUCUAAUGUAUUGAAAGACUGUGCUAAAUGUCUUGGGUGUGAUGGGAUAAGUUAUACUAUCCUGACUGUAUUAGUCUCAAAUGACCAUUUCUGAAUUUACCUAUAUGAUUUUAAAAAUAUUCUGUACAAGGUGACUUGUCAAUAUUUACAGUGCUUCAGAAAGUAUUUGGACCCCUUGACAUGUUCAACAUUUUGUUACGUUCUACAAUUGAUUUACAUUGGUUUUCUCUCAUCAGUCUACACACAGUAGCAAACAAUGUCAAAGCAAAAACAGAUUUAGUGUAAGGGCACAAGGUGAGACCCAGAUGCAGACACGGGAGGCAGAUGGUUAGAGUUUUGAUAUUUAUUAAACAAGCCAAAAGGGCUAGGCAAGAGAAUGGUUGUGCACAGGCAAAAGGUCAAUCAGUUCGGAGUCUAGGAGAUACAGAGUAGCAGGCAGCCUCGAGGGCAGGCAGAAUGGUCAGGCAGGUGGGGUAAGGAGUCCAGAAAACAGACAAGGGUUAAAAAAAAAAAAAAAGACAUGGUAGGGGAAGAGAAUGGGAAUGGGAAGAGAAUCGAAGCAGGAGUAAGGUGGAAAUGCCUUUUUAUGCUCUCUUCGAGCAAAGCAACACUGAAGUGAGCAUGAAGCUGUUCCGGACAAAUGUGUGAUCAUGCUCUCCAUAGCCGAUGUGCGCAACCCCAUAGAAAAUCUUUGGAGGGAGUUGAAAGUCCGUGUUGCCCAGCAACAGCCCCAAAACAUCACUGCUCUAGAGGAGAUCUGCAUGGAGGAAUGGGCCAAAAUACCAGCAACCGUGUGUGAAGACUUACAGAAAACAUUUGACCUCUGUCAUUGUCAACAAAGGGUAUAUAACAAAGUAUUGAGAAACUUGUUUGUUAUUGACCAAAUACUUAUUUUCCACUGUAAUUUGCAAAUAAAUUCAUUAAAAAUC
Molecule: long non-coding RNA, 5509 nt
Organism: Oncorhynchus keta (chum salmon)
Lineage: Eukaryota; Metazoa; Chordata; Actinopteri; Salmoniformes; Salmonidae
Exons: 4
Source: RefSeq, a predicted model, not a curated record